CAACAUGUGAAAGCAUGCGACUCUUCGGAGGCGUUACACAGGUGCUGCAUGGCCGUCGUCAGCUCGUGUCGUGAGAUGUUUGGUUAAGUCCAGCAACGAGCGCAACCCCUGUUGCCGGUUACCAGCACGUGAAGGUGGGGACUCUGGCGAGACUGCCCAGAUCAACUGGGAGGAAGGUGGGGACGACGUCAGGUCAGUAUGGCCCUUAUGCCCAGGGCUGCACACGUACUACAAUGCCCAGUACAGAGGGGGCCGAAGCCGCGAGGCGGAGGAAAUCCUAAAAACUGGGCCCAGUUCGGACUGUAGGCUGCAACCCGCCUACACGAAGCCGGAAUCGCUAGUAAUGGCGCAUCAGCUACGGCGCCGUGAAUACGUUCCCGGGUCUUGUACACACCGCCCGUCACAUCAUGGAAGCCGGUCGCACCCGAAGUAUCUGAAGCCAACCGCAAGGAGGCAGGGUCCUAAGGUGAGACUGGUAACUGGGAUGAAGUCGUAACAAGGUAGCCGUAGGGGAACCUGCGGCUGGAUCACCUC
Molecule: ribosomal RNA, 534 nt
Filed under: uncultured bacterium
Lineage: Bacteria
Description: bacterial SSU rRNA
Rfam family: Bacterial small subunit ribosomal RNA
Source: RNAcentral